GCAAGUGAUAGUGAUAUAGAGGAACCUAAACAUGCAUUGGUGGGAAUGUUUUGGUUGCGCUUAGAUGUUUUAAUUUGGAUAUCCGAAGGUGAAUGUAAUUUGAAGCCUUAUUUGUUGUAUUACUAGUUACUAGUUAUCAUUUAUAAAUAAAUUACAAUAUUAUAAAUAUUUAAUAAUUAUUGAAAAAUCAAUAAAUUUCUUCCAAAAUUUUAUUUUAUUUGAAGCAUACAAUUUAUAAUAUUUAAAUGAAAACAAUUUUCACUCCAUUUUUCACCGUCUUUAAGUUGAAGAAAUCAAAUCAUACUUUCAAGUCUUCCACUUUUACUUAUGCUCAAACCAGACAUCAAAUGUACCAGACACCAAAUGUGUAUGCUUCAAACAUAAAAAUAAAAUUUUGGAAGAAAAUUUAUUGAUUUUUUUCAAUAUUAUUAAAUAUUUAUAAUAUUGUAAUUUAUUUUAAAAAUGAUAACUAGUAACUAGUUAAUACAACAACAUAAGGCUUCCAAAUUACAUUCACCUUUCGGAUAUCCAAACUUAAAACAUCUUAAAGCGCAACCAAAACAUUCCCCACCAAUGCAUGGUUCAGGUUCCUCUAUAUCAUUAUCACUUGCUCCUGUUAAAAAAAAAAGAACUCUCAAACUCAAAAUUCCUUUAUAUAUUUUAACAAUGAUGUACAAAAUAGAAUUUAAAAGGACAAGUUAAUAGUUCCUUACCAAAAGAUAGGAGCAAUGUAAUGCAUAAAACUCCCAUGAGAAAAAGUUUGCAAAUGUGCAUUGUCAUUUUUUCUGAAGAUUUUGUCUUUGUAUUCUAUUAUUAUCUUUUGUUCUCAAUAUUAUGCAUAGGAAACUUCAAGUUCUUUAUAUAGUACUCGUUUUAUAAAAAUU
This 884-nucleotide long non-coding RNA is filed under the name Lathyrus oleraceus (garden pea). RNAcentral's name for it is "Pisum sativum (pea) long non-coding RNA (PSAT_LNC011035)". The record is from RNAcentral. Lineage: Eukaryota; Viridiplantae; Streptophyta; Magnoliopsida; Fabales; Fabaceae.